AUGCUUGAGGAGCUGGCAAUGAACAAGGUCAAGGAUGUGGCCGAACUUUAUGUUCGGGCUGAUCAGUGCGCUCGGGCUGAAGAGGGGAGGAAGUAUCCCGAUGAAGACAUCAGCGCGGAAACCGACUCCACGGAUGAUACCGCCACCCCGGAGAAGAAGGGCCGGCGCCGUAACAAGAAGCGCAAGGUCAAGACCGUGCUUGCCGUUGAGGGGUCCAACAAUACCGGCGCCACCAAGAAACCCAAGGCGAGUGACCCCGGCAAGGAGGUUGCCGGGUGUGCCGCUUGCCGGGCCUUGGCGACUACCGAUAAGCCAGGGGGCUCCGACAAGCAGUAUUGCAAGAUCCACCGCACCAAGGGCCAUGACUUCCAGAACUGCGGGCAAGUGGAGCUGCUCGAUGAGAAGCAGAAAGCCGAGUAUGAGCGACGGGACAAGGAGAAGGGCCAAGAGGGUGCCGAGGGAUCCGACAAGAAGAAUGGCGGCUGUUGGUGUCAAAACCGGCGGAUCUCGGGUAGGGGGUCCCGAACUAUGCGUCUAAGGCUAACGGUAACAGGAGGCUAA
Molecule: ribosomal RNA, 561 nt
Filed under: Triticum aestivum (bread wheat)
Lineage: Eukaryota; Viridiplantae; Streptophyta; Magnoliopsida; Poales; Poaceae
Description: partial small subunit ribosomal RNA
Source: RNAcentral